This 301-nucleotide ribosomal RNA is filed under the name uncultured bacterium. RNAcentral describes it as "partial 16S ribosomal RNA". It matches the Rfam family "Bacterial small subunit ribosomal RNA", at positions 509 to 807 of the family's 1533-position model. The record is from RNAcentral.
CAGUCGCCGCGGGAAUACGGAGGGUGCAAGCGUUAUCCGGAUUCACUGGGUUUAAAGGGUGCGUAGGCGGAUCUGUAAGUCAGUGGUGAAAUCUCCAGGCUUAACCUGGAAACUGCCGUUGAUACUAUAGGUCUUGAAUUUUGUGGAGGUUAGCGGAAUAUGUCAUGUAGCGGUGAAAUGCAUAGAUAUGACAUAGAACACCAAUUGCGAAGGCAGCUGGCUACACAACUAUUGACGCUGAGGCACGAAAGCAUGGGGAUCAAACAGGAUUAGAUACCCCGGUAGUCCCUGUCUCUUAUAC